UGGUCAUCUGAAUAUCGAAAUUGAGUGAAGGAUUAUCAAAAGAGCAAAAUCUAACCAGAGGAGAACAUUAUCCCUCAUUCAAUUUCGGUAUUCAGAUGACCA
Molecule: microRNA precursor, 102 nt
Filed under: Fragaria vesca subsp. vesca
Lineage: Eukaryota; Viridiplantae; Streptophyta; Magnoliopsida; Rosales; Rosaceae
Description: Fragaria vesca miR11295 stem-loop (fve-MIR11295)
Source: miRBase by way of RNAcentral